AAGUCGUAACAAGGUUUCCGUAGGUGAACCUGCGGAAGGAUCAUUACAAAUAAAGCUGGUAGGAAGUGGGGUCUUAGGAUCCUGGUAAGGUGGUAGAGGCCGGAACCCAGUCCGGCUGCCUUCCCGAAAUGUCUUACAUGUCCCCCAUCAGCCUGAAGGCCGCAAUUGACAAGCCCCGUUUGGAUUUAUCUACGACCUUGUUGCUUUGGGGGUGGCUCAAGUGCCCCAGUAGGACCCAACUCUCUUGCAUUUAGUGACGUCUGAUGUACUAUAUAAUAUUUAAAA
RNAcentral lists this unclassified non-coding RNA (285 nucleotides) under plant metagenome. RNAcentral describes it as "partial contains small subunit ribosomal RNA and internal transcribed spacer 1". The stretch from base 1 to 46 matches the Rfam family "Eukaryotic small subunit ribosomal RNA", at positions 1786 to 1831 of the family's 1831-position model. The record is from RNAcentral.